GCAAGUCGAGCGGUAGCACAGAGAAGCUUGCUUCUUGGGUGACGAGCGGCGGACGGGUGAGUAACGCGUGGGAAUCUACCUGGUAGUGGGGGACAACAGUCGGAAACGACUGCUAAUACCGCAUACGCCCUUUGGGGGAAAGUGGGGGAUCUUCGGACCUCACGCUAUCAGAUGAGCCCGCGUCGGAUUAGCUUGUUGGUGAGGUAAAGGCUCACCAAGGCGAUGAUCCGUAGCUGGUCUGAGAGGAUGACCAGCCACACUGGGACUGAGACACGGCCCAGACUCCUACGGGAGGCAGCAGUGGGGAAUAUUGGACAAUGGGGGCAACCCUGAUCCAGCCAUGCCGCGUGUGUGAAGAAGGCCUUCGGGUUGUAAAGCACUUUCAGCUGUGAGGAAAGGCGAGUGGUUAAUACCCGCUUGCUGUGACGUUAACAGCAGAGGAAGGACCGGCUAACUUCGUGCCAGCAGCCGCGGUAAUACGGAGGGUCCGAGCGUUAAUCGGAAUUACUGGGCGUAAAGCGCGCGUAGGUGGUUCAGUCAGUCAGAUGUGAAAGCCCCGGGCUCAACCUGGGAACUGCACCUGAUACUGCUGAGCUAGAGUACGGUAGAGGGUAGUGGAAUUUCCGGUGUAGCGGUGAAAUGCGUAGAGAUCGGAAGGAACACCAGUGGCGAAGGCGACUACCUGGACCGAUACUGACACUGAGGUGCGAAAGUGUGGGGAGCAAACAGGAUUAGAUACCCUGGUAGUCCACACCGUAAACGAUGAAUGCCAGUCGUCGGCAAGUAUGCUUGUCGGUGACACACCCAACGGAUUAAGCAUUCCGCCUGGGGAGUACGGCCGCAAGGUUACAACUCAAAUGAAUUGACGGAA
RNAcentral lists this ribosomal RNA (871 nucleotides) under uncultured bacterium. RNAcentral's name for it is "bacterial SSU rRNA". It matches the Rfam family "Bacterial small subunit ribosomal RNA", at positions 57 to 918 of the family's 1533-position model. The record is from RNAcentral.